Molecule: long non-coding RNA, 326 nt
Filed under: Medicago truncatula (barrel medic)
Lineage: Eukaryota; Viridiplantae; Streptophyta; Magnoliopsida; Fabales; Fabaceae
Description: long non-coding RNA (MTRU_LNC001299)
Source: RNAcentral
UUUCACGUUAGUGGUGUGUAUAGCUAUAGCUACACAACCGGAUAUAGGGUAUUCUUUAAGAAAAUAUAGUUAUGAUGAAGUUAUAGGCAUUUUAAUUUCUCUAUUAGGUUUACCAUUUACGGUUUUAAACCAUCAUUAUUUAAUCAAGUUAUUUUUUGACGCAUCAAAUAAGUCUAAGGUUGGAAUUCCGGCUAAAAGAUAUACAUGUGCCUAAAAAAAAAGUGCAUGAGACACAUGUGACAUGGUUACAUAGUUUUUCUUAGUACGCACUGCCAAUUUUGGGGCCAAUGAGAUGCACAAAGUCUUCAAAAAAUAUGAGAACUUCC